AGAGAUUUAUCUGGAAGGCCAGGAGAAGCAACUCAAGCACAAGGGAUCUGAGGAGGAGCCAGGGAGCACAUUUCCAGUUUAAAGGGGAAAAAUGUCUCCCUGGAGAGCCCCAGGCAGUCCUUGAAAGAGAGGCUUGAAGUCAAGUUUGAGUCUUCUGCAGCUCGGGCACCACCGAGUCACAGUGAGUGUUGGCCUCCGCAAGGCCUGACAGCACAGAGGACAGAGGCACACGUUCUGGCAGUUCCGCCAUGAGAACCCCCAGACCCGGGUUGGGGGCCCGCCCCCCGAGGGGCUGCCGGGCUUCAACAGCGGGGUGAUGUUGCUGAACCUGGAGGCCAUGCGCCAGUCCCCGCUCUACAGCCGCCUGCUGGAGCCGGCGCAGGUGCAGCAGCUGGCCGACAAGUACCACUUCCGCGGCCACCUCGGGGACCAGGACUUCUUCACCAUGAUCGGCAUGGAGCACCCCAAGCUCUUCCAUGUGCUGGACUGUACCUGGAACCGGCAGCUGUGCACCUGGUGGAGGGACCAUGGCUACAGUGACGUCUUCGAGGCCUAUUUCAGGUGUGAGGGCCACGUCAAGAUCUACCACGGGAACUGCAACACUCCCAUCCCGGAGGACUAGGCGCACCCCCUGCCUUGCCCCCGGGGCCUCCAGAUCUGGGGGAAGGACAGGGCUCCUUGGGACAGACCCAAGGGCAGUGUCUGACCCGCUAGAGAGACACCGCAGGGAAGUCCUGUGAUUAA
RNAcentral lists this small RNA (744 nucleotides) under Pan troglodytes (chimpanzee). RNAcentral describes it as "processed transcript". Lineage: Eukaryota; Metazoa; Chordata; Mammalia; Primates; Hominidae. The record is from RNAcentral.